UGGAUCGUGCUGUCACCAGAAUGGGCUUGGUAUUUUUUUCCAGUAAGUGCUUUGGUUUGCAUGAGGACAGUCGAUGGUGUCACGCCCACGCUGGGCGUGGCGGAGGAGAGGACUCCGUGGGGAGCUGAGGGACGGCCCACUUCCUUGAAGCCUGAACUCACAAAGAGGCAUCAAUGAGCCUCUCCCGAGCAACCAACCACCUGCCCACAGCCGGCAGGAAUCAGUCCUGGCAGAUACUCACGGCAGGCCUUCAUGUGCCAGACCAGGGUUCAGGGCAGCGAGGCAUACAUCCCUGCCUGCAGGAGGCUUACCCGCUUCAUCCGGAAGUUUCCGCAAAGCCAAGAAGGAUCUGAAAGCAUGGGGCAAGGAUGAGGAGGAGGUGAACAAAGGCCAGGCAGCACUGAGAUCUGACAGACUGGUGUCUGCUCAAGAGAAUUCAAACAGGCGCUCAGACAGAUGCCAUAGCAGCAUUAUCCACGAUAGCCAGAGGCUGGACACUACCAAGGGUCUGUCACUGAUGAACAGAUAAACAGCGUAGUCCAUGCAUCCCGUGUGGAAAGGAAAGACGUUCUGAGUCCCACCGCAGCCUGGCGUGGAAACUGUGAGGCAAUCAUAAAUAUGACGGCAUGUUGUGAUUCCAUCCUGGCGCCCAGAGAAGCAGCAAGGCCUUGUACACAGAGCUGGAGGGGUGCAAGAGGGAGCCUCCCUGGCCGGUCCCUGAGCUCGCCUAAACCACAGCCUGAGAUCCGGCAUGCCCUACGCACUGUCUGCUUCCUGUCCUGGAAUCUCUGUCAUCUGGAGGUGACAACCCACAGGCUCAGAAAGGCUGUGUAAUUUGCCCGAGACCACUCCGCUAGCAAGGGGCAGAGUCAGGACUGAACACAAAUCUUCAGAGCUCACUGCAGGCUUUCGCAAGUUCUCUACUUCUUAUUCAGUCAGGAGAUUCUGUAGCUGGCAUAACUACUUGUCAGCCAGACCCAUCUUCAGGUCAUCAGCAACCACACUUGCCGUCGGUUGACUGAAUGUGCUGAGCUUCGACAGUGGGGUCACGCGUCAGCCACACGGGUCAAGGGCACGUCGGUUUUGUUCCUCAUCGCAUUCCCAGCCCUGGCGUCACCUUUCUUGGAUGAUUCCUGAGUGAGCUGUUGAAUGUUCAGCGUGAAGGGUCUGGUUUGGGGACAGCAAGGGUGGGUGCGGAAGGGGUUGGAGCAAAAAGAAGAGCCUUGAUCCCACCCAGCUUCCCACCUGGUGAAGGGCAGAGACUCACUUCUGCUAGCCCAAGACAAGGCAUGUUCUUGCAUAAGGUGGAGCUCACAGAAGCUGUCAUGGGGUGGGAGAGUCA
Molecule: long non-coding RNA, 1342 nt
Filed under: Callithrix jacchus (white-tufted-ear marmoset)
Lineage: Eukaryota; Metazoa; Chordata; Mammalia; Primates; Cebidae
Description: lncRNA (ENSCJAG00000061677.2)
Source: RNAcentral